RNAcentral lists this unclassified non-coding RNA (298 nucleotides) under uncultured fungus. Its description in RNAcentral is "partial contains small subunit ribosomal RNA, internal transcribed spacer 1, and 5.8S ribosomal RNA". The stretch from base 1 to 73 matches the Rfam family "Eukaryotic small subunit ribosomal RNA", at positions 1759 to 1831 of the family's 1831-position model. The record is from RNAcentral. Lineage: Eukaryota; Fungi.
UCAAACUUGGUCAUUUAGAGGAAGUAAAAGUCGUAACAAGGUCUCCGUUGGUGAACCAGCGGAGGGAUCAUUACAGAGUUAUCAAAACUCCCAAACCCAUGUGAACUUACCAUUGUUGCCUCGGCAGGUCCGCCCUCCGGCCCCUCCCCCCUCCGGGGGGCAGGUUUCGGGGCGCGGGUCACGCCUGCCGGCGGCCCACAAAACUCUGUUUACUUGAUUGUAUUCUGAAUCUAUAACUAAAUAAGUUAAAACUUUCAACAACGGAUCUCUUGGUUCUGGCAUCGAUGAAGAACGCAGC